This 944-nucleotide ribosomal RNA is filed under the name Providencia rettgeri. RNAcentral's name for it is "partial 23S ribosomal RNA". Lineage: Bacteria; Pseudomonadati; Pseudomonadota; Gammaproteobacteria; Enterobacterales; Morganellaceae. The record is from RNAcentral.
GGGUUAUCCGUAAGGAGAAGCUCUUGAUCGAAGCCCCAGUAAACGGCGGCCGUAACUAUAACGGUCCUAAGGUAGCGAAAUUCCUUGUCGGGUAAGUUCCGACCUGCACGAAUGGCGUAAUGAUGGCCAGGCUGUCUCCACCCGAGACUCAGUGAAAUUGAACUCGCUGUGAAGAUGCAGUGUACCCGCGGCAAGACGGAAAGACCCCGUGAACCUUUACUAUAGCUUGACACUGAACAUUGAGCCUUGAUGUGUAGGAUAGGUGGGAGGCUUYGAAGCGUGGACGCCAGUCUGCGUGGAGCCAACCUUGAAAUACCACCCUUUAAUGUUUGAUGUUCUAACGUUGCCCCAUUAUCUGGGGUGCGGACAGUGUCUGGUGGGUAGUUUGACUGGGGCGGUCUCCUCCCAAAGAGUAACGGAGGAGCACGAAGGUUGGCUAAGCAUGGUCGGACAUCAUGCGGUUAGUGCAAAGGCAUAAGCCAGCUUGACUGCGAGAGUGACGGCUCGAGCAGGUACGAAAGUAGGUCUUAGUGAUCCGGUGGUUCUGAAUGGAAGGGCCAUCGCUCAACGGAUAAAAGGUACUCCGGGGAUAACAGGCUGAUACCGCCCAAGAGUUCAUAUCGACGGCGGUGUUUGGCACCUCGAUGUCGGCUCAUCACAUCCUGGGGCUGAAGUAGGUCCCAAGGGUACGGCUGUUCGCCGUUUAAAGUGGUACGCGAGCUGGGUUUAGAACGUCGUGAGACAGUUCGGUCCCUAUCUGCCGUGGGCGUUGGAAGAUUGAAAGGGGCUGCUCCUAGUACGAGAGGACCGGAGUGGACGCACCACUGGUGUUCGGGUUGUCAUGCCAAUGGCAUUGCCCGGUAGCUAAGUGCGGAAGAGAUAACCGCUGAAAGCAUCUAAGCGGGAAACUUGCCUUGAGAUGAGUCUUCCCUGACUCUUUAAGG